Pieris rapae (cabbage white) is the source of this 647-nucleotide long non-coding RNA. RefSeq lists it as uncharacterized. NCBI's taxonomy places the organism in Eukaryota, Metazoa, Arthropoda, Insecta, Lepidoptera, Pieridae. The transcript has 4 exons. The record is from RefSeq and is a predicted model, not a curated record.
AUUAAACGUUAUCAUCAAUUCAUCACUUCCAUUAAAAUUCGUUUGGCGUCAGUGGGUCUCAAGCCCUAUUAGUAAUAAAUAUAAAAUAAAUCUUUUAAAAAUUCUCCUGAUUUACAUUCUUUAUUUUUCGUGAGAGUAUAAAUAAUAACGCACUAGUUACUACUUUCUGAAUUAUUUUAACAAAACAAUUAAUGUCUUGUAAUACCCAAAGUGACGAAAUCAUUUUUGAUAAUAGGCAAAAUGUGGAGCAAUUGUACACAUACAUGAAUGUUGAUGAAUUACUUUUCACUGCAGAAUGUCAUAACUGCAAAUCUUGGAAAUGUCGCACCGUUGGAAUUUUAAAAAGUAUCAAUGGUCAUUUUUAUUUAAACGAUAUAAAUGCAGAGACGAAUCUGCAAGCACCAAAACUCUUAGUAUCAAUGUUGUAUCAAAAUGACACACCAAAUAGUAUAUUACCAAUGACUGUUCAGCUUUUUGGUAUGAUGCAGUGGAUAGAAAAACCAGUUUUACUAGUUGAAGUAAUACAUGUAAUAAAUCCAAGAAUGGCUGUAAACAUAACAAAUUCUCUUAGUUCUAUAAUAAAUUAUCAAACAAACAACAAACAAUUUGUAACAAAUAAAUUUGAAGAAUAAACUUUGUAAUAUGUA